GAAAAAGUUAGAACUUGGUCAACUUCCUCCACACGUCUACGGAUUGGACCUGCCACUUUAGAUUUUGAGAUUGCUAAUCGUCUUAUGGAUAAAUCUGAGUGGGUUGAUAGCUUGGAGAUUGACGCCGCAAUGUACGUUUUCCGGGAGAGAACAUCUUUGAAACGAUGGAGACCUCAUCGUGUCGCCUUCAUGACUG
This is a long non-coding RNA of Brassica oleracea var. oleracea, 196 nucleotides long. RefSeq lists it as uncharacterized. NCBI's taxonomy places the organism in Eukaryota, Viridiplantae, Streptophyta, Magnoliopsida, Brassicales, Brassicaceae. The transcript is spliced from 3 exons. The record is from RefSeq and is a predicted model, not a curated record.